AGUGAACGCUGGCGGUAGGCCUAACACAUGCAAGUCGAACGGCAGCACAGAGGAGCUUGCUCCUUGGGUGGCGAGUGGCGGACGGGUGAGGAAUACAUCGGAAUCUACUCUGUCGUGGGGGAUAACGUAGGGAAACUUACGCUAAUACCGCAUACGACCUACGGGUGAAAGCAGGGGACCUUCGGGCCUUGCGCGAUUGAAUGAGCCGAUGUCGGAUUAGCUAGUUGGCGGGGUAAAGGCCCACCAAGGCGACGAUCCGUAGCUGGUCUGAGAGGAUGAUCAGCCACACUGGAACUGAGACACGGGCCAGACUCCUACGGGAGGCAGCAGUGGGGAAUAUUGGACAAUGGGCGCAAGCCUGAUCCAGCCAUACCGCGUGGGUGAAGAAGGCCUUCGGGUUGUAAAGCCCUUUUGUUGGGAAAGAAACCCAGCUGGCUAAUACCCGGUUGGGAUGACGGUACCCAAAGAAUAAGCACCGGCUAACUUCGUGCCAGCCGCCGCAGUAA
Molecule: ribosomal RNA, 506 nt
Filed under: uncultured bacterium
Lineage: Bacteria
Description: partial 16S ribosomal RNA
Rfam family: Bacterial small subunit ribosomal RNA
Source: RNAcentral